RNAcentral lists this ribosomal RNA (301 nucleotides) under uncultured bacterium. RNAcentral describes it as "partial 16S ribosomal RNA". It matches the Rfam family "Bacterial small subunit ribosomal RNA", at positions 509 to 809 of the family's 1533-position model. The record is from RNAcentral.
CAGCCGCCGCGGUAAAACGGAGGGUGCAAGCGUUAUCCGGAUUUAUUGGGUUUAAAGGGUCCGUAGGCGGAUCUGUAAGUCAGUGGUGAAAUCUCACAGCUUAACUGUGAAACUGCCAUUGAUACUGCAGGUCUUGAGUAAAUUUGAAGUGGCUGGAAUAAGUAGUGUAGCGGUGAAAUGCAUAGAUAUUACUUAGAACACCAAUUGCGAAGGCAGGUCACUAAGAUUUAACUGACGCUGAUGGACGAAAGCGUGGGGAGCGAACAGGAUUAGAGACCCCGGUAGUCCCUGUCUCUUAUAA